UGGGGAAUAUUGCACAAUGGGCGCAAGCCUGAUGACGCAACGCCGCGUGGGGGAUGAAGGUCUUCGGAUCGUAAACCCCUGUCGAAUGGGACGAAAGACUCGCGAGUGAAUACUUCGCGAGAGUGACGGUACCGUUAAAGGAAGCCACGGCUAACUACGUGCCAGCAGCCGCGGUAAUACGUAGGGACCAAGCGUUGUUCGGAUUUACUGGGCGUAAAGGGCGCGUAGGCGGCGUGACAAGUCACUUGUGAAAUCUCCGGGCUUAACUCGGAACGGUCAAGUGAUACUGUCGUGCUAGAGUGCAGAAGGGGCAAUCGGAAUUCUUGGUGUAGCGGUGAAAUGCGUAGAUAUCAAGAGGAACACCUGAGGUGAAGACGGGUUGCUGGGCUGACACUGACGCUGAGGCGCGAAAGCUAGGGGAGCAAACGGGAUUAGAUACCCCAGUAGUCCCUGAGCGGGCUGGCAAGGCGCAU
RNAcentral lists this ribosomal RNA (473 nucleotides) under uncultured bacterium. RNAcentral's name for it is "bacterial SSU rRNA". It matches the Rfam family "Bacterial small subunit ribosomal RNA", at positions 355 to 825 of the family's 1533-position model. The record is from RNAcentral.